UAAGGCAUGCGAGUUACAUUAACCGCCCACGAAUACAUUAGCAUGGGAUAAUGGAAUAGGACCCUGUCCUGAAUCCUCCUAUUUUCAGUUGGUUUUGACACGCGAGGACCAGGGUAAUGAUUAAUAGGGAUAGUUGGGGGCAUUAAUAUUUAAUUGUCAGAGGUGAAAUUCUUGGAUUUAUGAAAGAUUAACUUCUGCGAAAGCAUCUGCCAAGGAUGUUUUCAUUAAUCAAGAACGAAAGUUAGGGGAUCGAAGACGAUCAGAUACCGUCGUAGUCUUAACCGUCGUAAUCUUAACCAUAAACCAUGCCCACCAGCGAUUGGGAAACGUUACAUAGGCGGUGCUUUCCCCGCGUACAGCCCUAAACACGGCCAGGUGUGAGGACGGUUUAGCCUGAUGGAUUUCGGUGAAUGACU
RNAcentral lists this ribosomal RNA (416 nucleotides) under Acanthamoeba sp. RNAcentral describes it as "SSU rRNA". It matches the Rfam family "Eukaryotic small subunit ribosomal RNA", at positions 776 to 1112 of the family's 1831-position model. RNAcentral also lists the same sequence under 1 other name. The record is from RNAcentral. Lineage: Eukaryota; Discosea; Longamoebia; Acanthamoebidae.